This is a non-coding RNA of Myotis lucifugus (little brown bat), 134 nucleotides long. The record is from Rfam. Lineage: Eukaryota; Metazoa; Chordata; Mammalia; Chiroptera; Vespertilionidae.
AGCUCUGCACAGUGGCAGUAUUUUAGCCAAUGAGCUUUAUCCGAGGUGUAAUUAUUGCUAACUGAAAACUUUUCCCCAAAAUCAGUGAAGGAUAUACACCAUAUUAACAGAAUAAAGGACAAAACACACAUGAU